RNAcentral lists this ribosomal RNA (468 nucleotides) under uncultured bacterium. Its description in RNAcentral is "partial 16S ribosomal RNA". It matches the Rfam family "Bacterial small subunit ribosomal RNA", at positions 28 to 507 of the family's 1533-position model. The record is from RNAcentral.
GACGAACGCUGGCGGCGUGCUUAACACAUGCAAGUCGAACGGAAAGGCCCUGCUUUUGUGGGGUGCUCGAGUGGCGAACGGGUGAGUAACACGUGAGUAACCUGCCCUUGACUUUGGGAAAACUUCAGGAAACUGGGGCUAAUACCGGAUAGGAGCUCCUGCUGCAUGGUGGGGGUUGGAAAGUUUCGGCGGUUGGGGAUGGACUCGCGGCUUAUCAGCUUGUUGGUGGGGUAGUGGCUUACCAAGGCUUUGACGGGUAGCCGGCCUGAGAGGGUGACCGGCCACAUGGGGACUGAGAUACGGCCCAGACUCCUACGGGAGGCAGCAGUGGGGAAUAUUGCACAAUGGGCGGAAGCCUGAUGCAGCAACGCCGCGUGCGGGAUGACGGCCUUCGGGUUGUAAACCGCUUUCGCCUGUGACGAAGCGUGAGUGACGGUAAUGGGUAAAGAAGCACCGGCUAACUACGUG